GAAUGCUGACAUAAGUAACGAUAAAGCGGGUGAAAAGCCCGCUCGCCGGAAGACCAAGGGUUCCUGUCCAACGUUAAUCGGGGCAGGGUGAGUCGACCCCUAAGGCGAGGCCGAAAGGCGUAGUCGAUGGGAAACAGGUUAAUAUUCCUGUACUUGGUGUUACUGCGAAGGGGGGACGGAGAAGGCUAUGUUGGCCGGGCGACGGUUGUCCCGGUUUAAGCGUGUAGGCUGGUUUUCCAGGCAAAUCCGGAAAAUCAAGGCUGAGGCGUGAUGACGAGGCACUACGGUGCUGAAGCGACAAAUGCCCUGCUUCCAGGAAAAGCCUCUAAGCAUCAGGUAACAUCAAAUCGUACCCCAAACCGACACAGGUGGUCAGGUAGAGAAUACCAAGGCGCUUGAGAGAACUCGGGUGAAGGAACUAGGCAAAAUGGUGCCGUAACUUCGGGAGAAGGCACGCUGAUAUGUAGGUGAAGCGACUUGCUCGUGGAGCUGAAAUCAGUCGAAGAUACCAGCUGGCUGCAACUGUUUAUUAAAAACACAGCACUGUGCAAACACGAAAGUGGACGUAUACGGUGUGACGCCUGCCCGGUGCCGGAAGGUUAAUUGAUGGGGUUAGCGGUAACGCGAAGCUCUUGAUCGAAGCCCCGGUAAACGGCGGCCGUAACUAUAACGGUCCUAAGGUAGCGAAAUUCCUUGUCGGGUAAGUUCCGACCUGCACGAAUGGCGUAAUGAUGGCCAGGCUGUCUCCACCCGAGACUCAGUGAAAUUGAACUCGCUGUGAAGAUGCAGUGUACCCGCGGCAAGACGGAAAGACCCCGUGAACCUUUACUAUAGCUUGACACUGAACAUUGAGCCUUGAUGUGUAGGAUAGGUGGGAGGCUUUGAAGUGUGGACGCCAGUCUGCAUGGAGCCGACCUUGAAAUACCACCCUUUAAUGUUUGAUGUUCUAACGUGGGCCCCUUACCGGGGUUGCGGACAGUGUCUGGUGGGUAGUUUGACUGGGGCGGUCUCCUCCUAAAGAGUAACGGAGGAGCACGAAGGUUGGCUAAUCCUGGUCGGACAUCAGGAGGUUAGUGCAAUGGCAUAAGCCAGCUUGACUGCGAGCGUGACGGCGCGAGCAGGUGCGAAAGCAGGUCAUAGUGAUCCGGUGGUUCUGAAUGGAAGGGCCAUCGCUCAACGGAUAAAAGGUACUCCGGGGAUAACAGGCUGAUACCGCCCAAGAGUUCAUAUCGACGGCGGUGUUUGGCACCUCGAUGUCGGCUCAUCACAUCCUGGGGCUGAAGUAGGUCCCAAGGGUAUGGCUGUUCGCCAUUUAAAGUGGUACGCGAGCUGGGUUUAGAACGUCGUGAGACAGUUCGGUCCCUAUCUGCCGUGGGCGCUGGAGAACUGAGGGGGGCUGCUCCUAGUACGAGAGGACCGGAGUGGACGCAUCACUGGUGUUCGGGUUGUCAUGCCAAUGGCACUGCCCGGUAGCUAAAUGCGGAAGAGAUAAGUGCUGAAAGCAUCUAAGCACGAAACUUGCCCCGAGAUGAGUUCUCCCUGACUCCUUGAGAGUCCUGAAGGAACGUUGAAGACGACGACGUUGAUAGGCCGA
This 1594-nucleotide ribosomal RNA is filed under the name Escherichia coli. Its description in RNAcentral is "partial 23S ribosomal RNA". It matches the Rfam family "Bacterial large subunit ribosomal RNA", at positions 1292 to 2864 of the family's 2925-position model. Lineage: Bacteria; Pseudomonadati; Pseudomonadota; Gammaproteobacteria; Enterobacterales; Enterobacteriaceae. The record is from RNAcentral.